RNAcentral lists this ribosomal RNA (207 nucleotides) under uncultured bacterium. Its description in RNAcentral is "partial 16S ribosomal RNA". It matches the Rfam family "Bacterial small subunit ribosomal RNA", at positions 568 to 774 of the family's 1533-position model. The record is from RNAcentral.
CGAGUAGGCGGCAGGGCAAGUCUAGGGUGGAAUCCUAUGGCUUAACUAUAGAAUUGCCUUAGAAACUGCUUUGCUUGAGUCAGUGAGGGGAUGGCGGAAUUCCUGGUGUAGCGGUGAAAUGCGUAGAUAUCAGGAGGAAGGCCCGUGGCGAAGGCGGCCAUCUGGCACUGCACUGACGCUGAGGCGCGAAAGCGUGGGGAGCAAACA